RNAcentral lists this ribosomal RNA (484 nucleotides) under uncultured bacterium. RNAcentral's name for it is "partial 16S ribosomal RNA". It matches the Rfam family "Bacterial small subunit ribosomal RNA", at positions 28 to 507 of the family's 1533-position model. The record is from RNAcentral.
AUUGAACGCUGGCGGCAUGCUUUACACAUGCUAGUCGAACGGCAGCGCGGGCUUCGGCCUGGCGGCGAGUGGCGAACGGGUGAGUAAUGCAUCGGAACGUGCCCAGUCGUGGGGGUAAGCCCGGCGAAAGCGGGGUUAAUACCGCAUACGACCUGUGGGGGAAAGUGGGGGACGGAGAGGCCUGGCGCUUUGGGGGCAGGCGGUGUGGGGUUAGCUAGUUGGUGGGGUAAAGGCUUACCAAGGCGACGAUACGUAGCUGGUCUGAGAGGACGGACAGUCACACUGGGACUGAGCAACGUCCCACACUCGUACGGUAGGAAGCGGUGGGGAAUUUUGGACAAUGGGGUCAAACGUCAUCCAGUCAUGCCGCGUGCGGUACGAAGGCCUUCGGGUUGUAAACAGCUUCUGUUCGGGAAGAAAUCCUGUGGGCUAAUACCCCGGGGUGCUGACGUUACCGGAAUAAUAAGCACCGGCUAACUCCGUG